RNAcentral lists this long non-coding RNA (441 nucleotides) under Cricetulus griseus (Chinese hamster). RNAcentral describes it as "lncRNA (ENSCGRG00015039081.1)". The record is from RNAcentral. Lineage: Eukaryota; Metazoa; Chordata; Mammalia; Rodentia; Cricetidae.
UGACAGUUUCCAAGACUUGGGGUUUGUGACGUUAAGCCUGAAACCCUACUAAAAUAGUCUGUUAGGAUGCCCCACCCAAACUUGCCCCAUCCCAGGAGCUACAUUCUAAAGGACCAGUAGAGGUGCCAAGCCUGACGAUGCAACCCCAGGAUGAACAUGAAGGAAGGAGAGAACCUACUCUUGUGAGCUGGCCUCUGGCCCUACAUGUGCGUAGUGAUGAGCGCACACCACACAGGCUUCUUGGUGUUGACUAUGGCUUGUAGAAAUGUCCCUUUUGGGCUGGAGAGAUGGCUCAAAGGUUAAAAGCACUGGCUGCUCUUCCAGAGGACCUGAGUUCAAUCCCCAGCAACCACAUGGUGGCUCACAGCCAUCUAUAAUGAGAUCUGGUGCCCUCUUCUGACAUGCAGAUUGAACAGUGUAUGCAUAAUAAAUAAAUCUUAA